UCAAUAAGCGGAGGAAAAGAAACCAACAGGGAUUACCUCAGUAACGGCGAGUGAAGCGGUAACAGCUCAAAUUUGAAAUCUGGCUCCUUCGGGGCCCGAAUUGUAAUUUGUAGAAGAUGCUUUGGGUCUGGGCCUGGCCUAAGUUCCUUGGAACAGGACGUCGUAGAGGGUGAGAAUCCCGUAUGCGGCUGGCGCCCGUGCCCGUGUAAAGCUCUUUCAACGAGUCGAGUUGUUUGGGAAUGCAGCUCUAAAUGGGUGGUAAAUUUCAUCUAAAGCUAAAUAUUGGCCAGAGACCGAUAGCGAACAAGUAGAGUGAUCGGAAGAUGAAAAGCACUUUGGAAAGAGAGUUAAACAGUACGUGAAAUUGUUGAAAGGGAAGCGCUGGCAACCAGACUUGGGCGCUGUUGAUCCGUUAGGGUUCUCCCUAGGGCACUCAGCAGUGCGCAGGCCAGCAUCGGUUUGGGGGGUUGGAGAAAGGCUGGUGGAAUGUAGCUGCCCUCGGGCAGUGUUAUAGCCACUGGCGGCAUGCAGCCUCCCCGGACCGAGGACCGCGCUUCGGCUAGGAUGCUGGCGUAAUGGUUGUCAGCGACCCG
RNAcentral lists this ribosomal RNA (593 nucleotides) under Podosphaera tridactyla. RNAcentral's name for it is "partial 28S ribosomal RNA". It matches the Rfam family "Eukaryotic large subunit ribosomal RNA", at positions 43 to 651 of the family's 3401-position model. Lineage: Eukaryota; Fungi; Ascomycota; Leotiomycetes; Helotiales; Erysiphaceae. The record is from RNAcentral.